This 90-nucleotide transfer RNA is filed under the name Pseudomonadota bacterium. Its description in RNAcentral is "tRNA-Ser". It matches the Rfam family "tRNA". Rfam says of the family: Transfer RNA (tRNA) molecules are approximately 80 nucleotides in length. Their secondary structure includes four short double-helical elements and three loops (D, anti-codon, and T loops). RNAcentral also lists the same sequence under 3 other names. Lineage: Bacteria; Pseudomonadati; Pseudomonadota. The record is from RNAcentral.
GGAGCGGUGGCCGAGCGGUCGAAGGCAGUGGUCUUGAAAACCACCGUGCGUGAAAGCGUACCGUGGGUUCGAAUCCCACCCGCUCCGCCA